GACGAACGCUGGCGGCGUGCUUAACACAUGCAAGUCGAACGGAAAGGCCCUGCUUUUGUGGGGUGCUCGAGUGGCGAACGGGUGAGUAACACGUGAGUAACCUGCCCUUGACUUUGGGAUAACUUCAGGAAACUGGGGCUAAUACCGGAUAGGAGCUCCUGCUGCAUGGUGGGGGUUGGAAAGUUUCGGCGGUUGGGGAUGGACUCGCGGCUUAUCAGCUUGUUGGUGGGGUAGUGGCUUACCAAGGCUUUGACGGGUAGCCGGCCUGAGAGGGUGACCGGCAACAUUGGGACUGAGAAACGGCCCAGACUCCGACGGGAGGCAGAAGGGGGGAAUAUUGCACAAGGGGCGGAAGCCUGAGGCAGCGCCCCCGCGUGAGGGAGGACGGCUUUCGGUUUGUAAACCGCUUUCGCCUGGGAAGAAGCGGGAGUGAGGGUAAUGGAAAAAGAAGCACCGGCUAACUACGUG
Molecule: ribosomal RNA, 468 nt
Filed under: uncultured bacterium
Lineage: Bacteria
Description: partial 16S ribosomal RNA
Rfam family: Bacterial small subunit ribosomal RNA
Source: RNAcentral